CCUACGGGGGGCAGCAGUGAGGAAUAUUGGUCAAUGGGCGAGAGCCUGAACCAGCCAAGUCGCGUGAGGGAGUACUGCCCUAUGGGUUGUAAACCUCUUUUGUCGGGGAGCAAAAGCCGGACGUGUCCGGCUGUGAGAGUACCCGAAUAAAAAGCAUCGGCUAACACCGUGCCAGCAGCCGCGGUAAUACGGAGGAGGCGAGCGUUUGCCGGUUUUAGUGGGGUAAAAGGGGGCGCAGGCGGAUUUUUAGGUCCGCGGUCAAAUCGGGGGGCUCAACCCCAUCCAGCCGUUGAAACUGGGGAUCUAGAGUGUGCGAGAGGUAUGCGGAAUGCGUGGUGUAGCGGUGAAAUGCAUAGAUAUCACGCAGAACCCCGAUUGCGAAGGCAGCAUACCGGUGCACAACUGACGCUCAGGCACGAAAGCGUGGGUAUCGAACAGGAUUAGAUACCCUUGUAGUC
Molecule: ribosomal RNA, 458 nt
Filed under: uncultured bacterium
Lineage: Bacteria
Description: partial 16S ribosomal RNA
Rfam family: Bacterial small subunit ribosomal RNA
Source: RNAcentral